AGAGCCAGGAAACCCUUGUGAUCCGGAAAAUUAGAAAUGUGGUCAAGGUCGGGACCCGGAACUGAGCAGGCCUUCGGUGGGCUGUCCCAGGGUGGAGACCAAGGAGAAGGGGAGGCUCAGCCAAGACUUUCACCCAGGGCAACGAGGGGCAGCCAGUCCUACGGGGUCACCUUCAGGGCUCAGUGGCUGCAGUUAUGAUACUGAAGGGAUAAGAGGAGUCAGAGGAAGGGAAGAAACCCCGUAUCUGGCCAGGCGGAGAGCUCACUGGUUCUGGAGCAAAAUCUUUCGGGACAACUGCAACAGGGCCGGGAGAGGUGAGAGCUCAACAACCUCAACGGAGGCAGAGAAUCUCACAGCAUCACCAGAGAGUUCCCCGGGCCGGCUGCUCUUCAGGCAGGCGUGUGUUUGUGGGAGAGGUGCACUGUUAAUGGCUCUGAGGCUCUGAAGCUCCGUCCAACUAUGGCUUAAAGAAGCUAAUAAAAACUUCACGGAGAUUUAGAGACAACUAAUGACAUCAGGAACGUUGGCUGCCAUGCCUACCUGCUCUAGUUCUCGUUUGGAAAUUCCCCAUGCUCAGCUGUGAAAGAACAGAAUGGAAACCAAUCAAGGGACGGGGGAUAUUGAUAUCUAGCCUACAUGGAUGGAGAAGACAUCGAAAGAUAGGGAGAAUGACAUCACAAAACCUUCAAUGCCUUCCAGUCCACAGGGAGGCGGUCACUCACAGAUGCAAUAACCUUUCGGGGUCUGCCUCUGAAAACAUUCAGUGAAAGUUGGUGACUUGGUUCAUUUUUCAGGCAAAGAAAUGAAGGCAUGGGUUGAAAAUAGACAGAGCUAUAAGGCUUUAAGAGUGGCAGCUUUCUGUCCAAAUUCCAACAAAAAUAGUUAUCAGAUCUCUCUCUCUUUUUUUUUAAAGGCAGCAGGAGAACAUAGAUCCAAAAUUCUGUGUAAUCCACUCAACUAAGACUAUAACAACAACAAACAGUUCUAUAGUGCAGUUUAUGUUAUUCUUGGCAGAGCUCAGAUCUCAGGUGACAUCAAAGGUGACUACAUAGAUAUAUAUACAAUGAAGUCAGCUUAUAAUUCAUUUCUAUUAGAUUUACAAAUUUAAACUGCUUAGGGCUUACAAGUUUCCGAGAGACAGAGAAUACCACAAAGAAGUGGAUAGAUGGCAGAUGACACAUGCGAGACCCAAAGUGCUAAUUUCCUGAAUAUACAAAGAGCUCUUACAAGUUAAUCAAAAGACAAAUAACUCAAUGAAGUAAUGGGCUCUUGCCUAUGUUAUGAAUAUUUUCAUCUGGUAUGACAUUUACUCUUUGAUUUCAUUAUUUUUGUGAUUUUCAUAGGCUUGUAUUUUAUGUAGUCAAAUCUCUAUGUCUUUCUAUCACUUUUGUGUUUAGAAGGACGUUCCUCCUUCUGAAGUACACAUAUUUGAUUUUGGAUUUGAGAUGGCAUUCAUUUCUGAUCCAUCUAUAAAGUUUUUGGUGUGUGGUUAAAGGUAAAAAUAGACUCACAUUUUCCUAAAUAAUUAGCCAGUUGUUCCAGCUCCAUUUAUUGAGUGGUCCUUCCUUUCCCAACUGAUGCGCGGUGUAACCUUUAUCAUAUAUUAAAUACUCAUGUGUG
Molecule: long non-coding RNA, 1620 nt
Filed under: Homo sapiens (human)
Lineage: Eukaryota; Metazoa; Chordata; Mammalia; Primates; Hominidae
Description: HSALNT0394819
Source: RNAcentral